This is a long non-coding RNA of Bactrocera neohumeralis, 1651 nucleotides long. RefSeq lists it as uncharacterized. The record is from RefSeq and is a predicted model, not a curated record. The transcript has 2 exons. Lineage: Eukaryota; Metazoa; Arthropoda; Insecta; Diptera; Tephritidae.
UAUGUGAAGCUAUAGGGGUGAUAGUAUUGCCAGAUGAGAGUGAGUGGAUAAACAACUGGAGUUCAGAUAAAUGUUCAGAGCUACGGUGGGUAGGUAGAAGGGAUUUGCUUGCUGUUUUCGUAUUUUAAUGGAAAACACUAGAAUAUUAUAGUGUGUUUAAGCAAACAAAAACUAAAAUACUAAAAAAAUGUUUAUUAUUUAUGAAAUAAGUUAUCGAUUUUCAGUAUUUUCCCUCUUUUCAUCAAUAUUUUGUGUGUAUUAGGUUUAGAGCCGAAAUUUUAACAUUUUCAAACUAUUUUUGUCUCAAAAGCUUACAGUUUCAAGGUUGAGAGACUACAUGUUUUAUGAAAAUCUACUAAGUUUGCACCAGAAGAAGUCACGAAUCGUAAAAAGUAAACCAUGGCCUGAAAGAAUAUGGGAUGAGCAAAAAGUUCUUGAAGAGAACCGGGACGCCUUGAGAAUUCCGGGCCCAGGAGAAAUUGUUCUCAAUCUAAUCCUUUCUUGUGCACUGGGUACAGAUCUCAAAACGAAUAAACUAGGCAAUCUUGCUAUGUUUAUAUCAAUUCUUAAUGGACAAAUUUCAUGUUUGACAAUAAGCUAUUAGAAAACAUUUAUGUUCGAGUUACCUGGCGACUUGUGAGAGAAUUACAGAUGCAUGUACAUACAUACAUAUGUAAAUAAGUUACUGUUGUUGUAUGUCGACACGCAAGCGCAGACCAACAACAAAGCUAGAUACUUAUUAGAAAACCAACACUGGAUACAAAGAAUGGAGCAAGCCAACGCACUGGGCGGCCUCUGAAUGCCAGCGAGUCAGUCAAAGAACCGGAGAAUGCUCACAGCAGUGCAGAAGGCGCAAAGCACAGCACCAAUGUACAAAGCUACGUAUGUACAUAGGUAAGAGUCAGUCAGUCAUCCAACCUUUGCAACCGGUCACCAGGUAAUACUCGCUGCUUCAACAUACCGAAGAAGUAUAACGCUACAUAAUACAGCAACAUAAAACCCACAUAUACACAUACAUACAUACAUACUUUGUCUAUAAAAAUGUGUAGUAAUGUUUGUCUGUUGGAGUUGGAGUUUAGUUCGGUGGGAAUAAUUCAAUUCUUGGUUGUCUUAUUUCUGGUUUGCUUCAUUCUGAGAUUGGAAUGUGGUACUACCAGAUAUCGGCGCACAAACACACACACAUGUACUGCAUAGGCUCCAUUUACAUGACCAAGAGCUACAACAAUAACAAGCAACAACAACAAUCGUGAUUCUAGUGGGGAAAAAAAUAUUUUCAUACUUUGCUUUUACAGUUGGGAACCAAAGAACCAUUACGAGAAUGCUUCAACAAUCACUUAAUACAAAAAAAAACACAUACAAGUGUAUGUGAACUAAGAAAGCUGAAGGAAGUAUCUCAAGAACAGCAUUAAGGCGAAUGCAAUGUAAAGAAAAAAUCGGGAAAAAAAUAAAUAAAACAUUCUUGAGUCGUCCUUCCAAGAAAUGCAAUCACGCAGCGAUCACCAACGACGUUCUCGCCAACAACAAAGCAAACGCAGCAAUGCUCCUAAACACACACAAAGCAUAAAGAAAGCAACAACAAAAGAUAAGAAAAAUUCACUCAAUAUGCAGGCGCAGGCGCAGACCCAAAUGUGAUAGAGCAGCCAGCAGCGUA